This is a non-coding RNA of Gossypium raimondii (Peruvian cotton), 144 nucleotides long. The record is from Rfam. NCBI's taxonomy places the organism in Eukaryota, Viridiplantae, Streptophyta, Magnoliopsida, Malvales, Malvaceae.
UUUUUAAAAUUUCAUCCAUUUUUACUGUUAAAAAUUAAUAAUGCGGACGAAAUAACUAAACAAUUACAUAUGCCAUGCCACGCGUAUCUUAUGAUGACAUACAUGACCAAUUUUUAAUAGUAAAAAUGGAUAGAGUUGUUAAUA